AGUGAACGCUGGCGGUAGGCCUAACACAUGCAAGUCGAACGGCAGCACAGUAAGAGCUUGCUCUUACGGGUGGCGAGUGGCGGACGGGUGAGGAAUACAUCGGAAUCUACUUUUUCGUGGGGGAUAACGUAGGGAAACUUACGCUAAUACCGCAUACGACCUACGGGUGAAAGCAGGGGAUCUUCGGACCUUUCGCGAUUGAAUGAGCCGAUGUCGGAUUAGCUAGUUGGCGGGGUAAAGGCCCACCAAGGCGACGAUCCGUAGCUGGUCUGAGAGGAUGAUCAGCCACACGGGAACUGAGACACGGUCCAGACUCCUACGGGAGGCAGCAGUGGGGAAUAUUGGACAAGGGGCGCAAGCCUGAUCCAGCCAUACCGCGUGGGUGAAGAAGGCCUUCGGGUUGUAAAGCCCUUUUGUUGGGAAAGAAAAGCAGCAGGUUAAGACCCCGCUGUUCUGACGGUACCCAAAGAAUAAGCACCGGCUAACUUCGG
This 491-nucleotide ribosomal RNA is filed under the name uncultured bacterium. Its description in RNAcentral is "partial 16S ribosomal RNA". It matches the Rfam family "Bacterial small subunit ribosomal RNA", at positions 29 to 506 of the family's 1533-position model. The record is from RNAcentral.